GCGGAUGUGGCGGAAUUUGGUAGACGCGCACGGUUCAGGUCCGUGUGGGGGUGACCCCGUGGAGGUUCGAGUCCUCUCAUCCGCA
RNAcentral lists this transfer RNA (85 nucleotides) under Actinomycetota bacterium. RNAcentral's name for it is "tRNA-Leu". It matches the Rfam family "tRNA". Rfam says of the family: Transfer RNA (tRNA) molecules are approximately 80 nucleotides in length. Their secondary structure includes four short double-helical elements and three loops (D, anti-codon, and T loops). Further hydrogen bonds mediate the characteristic L-shaped molecular structure. tRNAs have two regions of fundamental functional importance: the anti-codon, which is responsible for specific mRNA codon recognition, and the 3' end, to which the tRNAs corresponding amino acid is attached (by aminoacyl-tRNA synthetases). tRNAs cope with the degeneracy of the genetic code in two manners: having more than one tRNA (with a specific anti-codon) for a particular amino acid; and 'wobble' base-pairing, i.e. permitting non-standard base-pairing at the 3rd anti-codon position. Lineage: Bacteria; Bacillati; Actinomycetota. The record is from RNAcentral.